This 232-nucleotide ribosomal RNA is filed under the name uncultured bacterium. RNAcentral describes it as "partial 16S ribosomal RNA". It matches the Rfam family "Bacterial small subunit ribosomal RNA", at positions 100 to 334 of the family's 1533-position model. The record is from RNAcentral.
CGGGACGGGUGAGUAAUGUCUGGGAAACUGCCUGAUGGAGGGGGAUAACUACUGAAACGGUAGCUAAUACCGCAUAACGUCGCAAGACCAAAGAGGGGGACCUUCGGGCCUCUUGCCAUCGGAUGUGCCCAGAUGGGAUUAGCUAGUAGGUGGGGUAACGGCUCACCUAGGCGACGAUCCCUAGCUGGUCUGAGAGGAUGGCCAGCCACACUGGAACUGAGACACGGUCCAG